Odocoileus virginianus texanus is the source of this 843-nucleotide non-coding RNA. NCBI's taxonomy places the organism in Eukaryota, Metazoa, Chordata, Mammalia, Artiodactyla, Cervidae. The record is from RefSeq and is a predicted model, not a curated record.
CCUGGCUGGAUGCUCUGAGGAGCGGCGGCGCGCGCGAUGCGCCGGAUACCUCGCUCAGGCCUGGGAGGCUGAGAGAUCACAUGCUUGCCGAUCUACGGCAGGAGAGGAUUAUUUCAACAGUGUCUCGGUCCCUCACAGCUCGUAAGGUUCGGUAUAAUAAAUUUUGUGGGCGUCACCGUUUUCUAAUUGCGAUGCUUUUUUGCCUUGAAACUGAAGACUCACGUUGAAACCUGUGAAAUCAGCCUUUCAAGGGGUAUCGCAAAAUGAGGAAACUGGUUCAGAUUACACAACAUGGGAUGUGGUGCCACCACUUGGCUGUACCAUACUUUAACUCAAUUGUGUUUGGGUCUUAAUUCACGUUCUUUAUACCACAACGCAUUGCUUCCAUAGAAAUAACCUGUGAUAUCCCAAGUCAGUUGUGAAAGACCUUCAGUUUCUGGUAAAGAAACUGGCCAUCUGAAACAACCAAUGGGCACCUGGCAUUUGACAGAGAUGUUUUCCAUCUGUGCUUUAAGAGAAAUGCUGUGGUCAACUGCUCUGAACCAGCUGGCUCUGACUUGACCACAGACACGUACCUGAGCAGAUGAGACCUGGAGGUAUCCGAAAGUUACCUUUGCUUCAUUACCAUGCUAAGAUCUCUGCCCAAGGAGGGAUUUGUUCUCUGCUAGGCACAAUUUGUUCCAUGUGCAAAGAAUUGUGGAAGACUGUGCGAGCCGCAGCUGCCCCUGGCUGCUCAAGGAAAUCUAUCUCCACCACUUUCCUAGAGUCCUGAUGACAAGUCUCCCUCCUACACCUUAAAAUUUCCUGGAGAAGAGGGUGUUUUUAGAGCAUGAACUCUCUUUU